UCUUUUCUGAUUUCUCUAUUUUUUAUAUUUUUUUGUCUGUAAAAAAUACAAUCGGGUCUUGGGGCUUUUGUAGCCAAAAACACAAGUGAUUUGAUUUUUUGCUUGCUAUUUGGUUUAUCUCUGCUUUUGUUGUUUCUUGCCACUCCUGUCUUGUUCUAUUGCUUUGUAGGUAUCAGGGAGGAAGUCAACGAAGCAGAGGUUACCAUUUUGGUGCAAGAUGCCAAGAAUGGUGGUCUUCGGUCGUCGAGCGUGCUGAUUUAGCAUGUGAAGGCAGCGGCGCACAAGGAAAGAGGGGCUAGGGUUUCUGUUUUGAAAAUCAUUUUGGGCCAUUGUUGGCUUUGGGCUAGUGUAAUUGGGUUAGUGUAGUUGGGCUGAGGAUUUUUGUAAGGGACUUAAACUAUUAUUAUUAUUAUUUGGUAUUGUUGGCUUUGGGCUAGUGUAAUUGGGUUAGUGUAGUUGGGUUGAGGAUUUUUGUAAGGGACUUAAACUAUUAUUAUUAUUUGGUUUUAAUGUGUUUGGGCCUUGAGCAAAUUUAGCCAAUUACAAUAAGUAUACGGUCGGACUAAGAAUCCCAGGACGGUUAUCGUGGUCACUCAGAUGUAUGUACGCACUUUCCAAGCGUUGCAUUUGACUAGUGUGAUGCACUCGCUAAUGCUGGUUCCCUACGAUCUGGUUUGGAUCAUGGUGGAAGCUAGUGGCGUCAGCAACAAAACGGUGUCGCUUAUUGCGAAAUUGGGUUUGAAAGCUAUCCACCUCGGAUUCAAUCAACGGAUGCCAAAUUCCUAGGAAAAACGACAUAAAUUAGAGUCUAAGAUGCAUCUUCGUACUUUAAGAAUUAUUAGAGAGAAGAAAUUGGAUGGAAUUGUUAUGUUUGCCAAUGAUAGCAAUAUGCUUAGUAUGGAACUUUUUGAUGAGAUCCAAAAUGUGAAAUGGUUCAGGGCUGUUUCAAUUGGAAUACUUACUCAUUCGGUUAAUCCAGAUGAGAUGGCGGAUCAUAAAAAGGAUGAAGAGGAGAAUCUUAGAAUGCCUGUUCAAGGCCCUACUUGUAACGCCUCCGAUAUGUUAGCAGGAUGGCAUACUAUACAUUGCCAUUUGCUGGGAAAAGUGUGGUUUAUAUUGAUGAUCGGGCAACUGUGCUGCCCAGGAAGUUGGAGUGGUCAGGAUUUGUUUUGAAUUCUAGGUUGCUUUGGAAUGAUAGUAGUGAUAAGCCGAAAUGGAUUAAGAAUAUUGAUAUGUUGAAUGGUGUUAUUAAGAGUCCCCUGGGUUUGGUUAGUGACACUUCGGUGGUGGAGCCACUUGGAAACUGCAGUCGUCAAGUAGAAUUGUAAAAUAAAUCUAAAAUAAAACUUAAUGAACUAGGAUCUAUCAUUUCAAAUCAUUAAGAAUAAAUCAUGAAUAAAACUCAAUUAAGCCCUUUUAAAAUUUAAAAAUUAUUUAAAAAAAUCAUAAACAAAAUUUAUUAAAAAAGUUAUAAAAUUAUUAAAAAAUUAUUAAAAAAUAAUAAUGUCGACUGUCGAAACCAUUUUUUAAAGCGUUUGAAAAACGGGGUUCGACUUUUUGAAAAAUGAAAAUGAGAGUCGCCACCAACCUUUUUAGUUGUGAUUGGAUCACCUUUAUAAAACAUUUUGGUCUACGAAAUGCAAGAAAACAGGUCGGGAGUCGGUUACGCACAAGGAAGGAUUAGCACUGUAGCACCCCAAACCCGGCCCAGAAGUUAUGGCCGGAUCCGACAUGCCACAUCAAAAAUGUAAAAAAAAAAUUUCCAUUCUAAGUCCAGAAAAUCGUACUUGAUGUUCAAAAGAUUAAUUCAUUAAGGGUUAAAGUGAAUGGAAGCUGUGCACCAGGUAGGAAAUCGGAAAAGAGGUGGUGAGUCCAUCGGACUGCUUAAGUACCAAGCUCCCUUCGGAUCCAAUCCUAGACAUGCAUACCGCCAUUGCCACACCUUAACGUCAUGGAUAUUUCUAGGAAACUAAUUUGAUUAAGUCAUUUUUAGGAAAAGUGAUUAAUUUUGGAAAAAUACUUUCAUUGGGAAAGCUUUGCUUGUUGUCGUGUUAUUUUGAAAUCAACUGUUAUUUUUGAAAACGCGCCCUAAAGCUAUCCAAUUUCUACAGUUAAAAUAAGUAUUACCUAUCUUAGUAAUACAUAUUAAAACCAUCAAAAAUAAUUAAGCGGCCUUAUUACAUUUAAAAGCCCAAAAACUUCAAACGUAAAUAAAAGGAUGUCCAGUUCACCAGAAGAAAAUCAAACUUUCAGAACGGGUGGCCACUCCGAAUUCCCUCACAGCUCCAAGCCCACUAUGGUUGGGGAUUUCCUGCGUGGAUGAAAAUAAAAGGGGUAAGUUUGGGGAAACUCAGUAUGUAAAGAAAACCCAACCAUAGCCUAUAGCAGCUCAAACCACAGAAAUAGAAUAAGUUGGCCUUAGCCCAGAACAGAAUUCAGAAUAAAGCCCAUAGGCCCAUAGCAGAACAGAACAGAUAUUACAUGUUUAUGCAGAAACCCAACCAUAUCCAACCGUAUACACCCCCGUACCAACCUUACACCGUGUGGGGAGACAACUCGACCCACCCAACCGCUACACACCACAGAAUUUGCAGCAUGGCUGCCAGAACAGAUAAUGUGACAGAGUCACCAGAUACAGAUAAUCGUGGCAGAGCCACCAGAACAGAUAUAUGUGGCAGAGCCACCAGAUCAGAUAAUCGUGGCAUAGCCACCAGGACGCUUCCUCCAUAAUAUAACCCAUGUCCCCGUGCAACAGAUAUAUAAUCAUGGCAUACAUCAUACAGAAUCAGAUCAUCAUGCUUUUCAGUCAAAAUUAACCCAAGGGGAAUAACGGUAACUUUGCACCUAGGGGUAUAACAGUAAUUUUCCAUACAUAGGGGUAUUAUAGUAAUUUAGCUACUUUUAGAGUUUUCAUGCAUAUCCUAACUAUUUACAUACUAUCAGAACACUUACCGCGCAUACUUACCGAAUUGGGCCCGUUGGCCCAUGAACCGAUCUUUGGCCCAUUAAGCCCAAAUUAUCAAAAUGUACGAAAUCGCGCGUACUGCAGUUUAUUACUUUAGAUUACCAAAUAUACAAACCCAACUAUCUUACGAGCAUUCGCACACUCGCAAAUUCCCAAAAUACCGACUUUUUGGCAUUUCGGCUUUUCGGCUUUUGCCAAUCUAGUCUAUGAGAGGGUGUCAGUUACACACCUGUUUGCGACGAUAUGCUGACGAGAUCCACACACGAACCGCCUACAAUUGGAUUACUAACACGUUAAUCUAACUAUUCAAAUACAAACUACGUAUUAACCCCUUACAAUAUUCGGCCAACCACACCUACAGAUCAUAGUAAGCUUAUAAGAAAUCAAUAAGCAACUCAUUAACAAAUUUUUGUCAAUGUUUACCACAUAAUCAUAAUUUCACUGCAAGCUGUCUUCCUGAGCAACAGUCACUAAAUCAUUUAUCACUGGAGCUACGAAACUCCAAAUCAAGUGCCGUUAAUUUUCCCUGAAAAUAGACUCAUAUAUCUUUUAUCCAUAAAAUUUUCAGAAUUUUUGGUUUAGCCAAUCAAUACUAGAUUUUUCUCAAAGUUUCCCAUGUUUCACUGUUUGACUAAUCUGACCACUCUUCAUUACGAAUCAAAUUUCUCAUUGUACAGAAUUCAAAUUAUGUUCUUGUUUAUUUCAUUAGAAACUAGACUCAAUAAGCUUUAAUUACAUAAUUUAUUCAGCUUCUAAUUCAUCUCCCACAAUUUAUGGUGAUUUUCCAAAGUCACGUUACUACUGCUGUCCGAAGCAGAUUUAUUACCAAAUCACUCUUUCACACAUACAUUGCAUGCAUGUUAUUUAAACAUGUAUAUCACCAAUCAAUCAUCACAUAUCUAUGAUUUUACUUAAGUAUAAUCUCCAUUUCAUCAUUUUAAAGCACAACAUGUUAGCUGAAUUUUCCCUUUAACAUCUAAUGCACAUGCAUGCUCAUUUGUUUGGCUCAACUUCACCUAUCUUCCAUUUUUCAUCAAAAGAACAUGAAACAACAACCAUUUCCUUCAUUUUAAUUCAUGACUAAAUGCUCACAACACAACUAAAAAUCAAAAUAUACUUCAAGAGUUAAGGUAGAAUCAAGAAGAACUCACGAACCUCAAAAUAGAAGCAAGGUACCAAGAACUUACCUUCAAUUUUCCUCCUCCUAAUGACCAAAUACUCAAGAGCUUUCUCCUCUCCUUUCUCUUCUCUAACUUUCAGCUAUGAUGAACAAAGAUGGACAAAACUUUGUUCUUUUCAC
Molecule: long non-coding RNA, 4265 nt
Filed under: Gossypium barbadense (sea-island cotton)
Lineage: Eukaryota; Viridiplantae; Streptophyta; Magnoliopsida; Malvales; Malvaceae
Description: long non-coding RNA (GBAR_LNC006847)
Source: RNAcentral